Molecule: ribosomal RNA, 790 nt
Filed under: methanogenic prokaryote enrichment culture J0704734_A19-46_M13F-47
Description: bacterial SSU rRNA
Rfam family: Archaeal small subunit ribosomal RNA
Source: RNAcentral
ACGGCUCAGUAACACGUGGAUAACCUGCCCUAAGGAAGGGGAUACCCCCGGGAAACUGGGGAUAAUACCCUAUAGGUUACAGAUGCUGGAAUGCUCUGUAACCGAAAGUUCCGGCGCCUUAGGAUGGAUCUGCGGCCGAUUAGGUUGUUGUCGGGGUAACGGCCCAACAAGCCAGUAAUCGGUACGGGUUGUGGGAGCAAGAGCCCGGAGUUGGAUUCUGAGACACGAAUCCAGGCCCUACGGGGCGCAGCAGGCGCGAAAACUUUACAAUGCGGGCAACCGUGAUAAGGGAACCUCGAGUGCCUGUAUAUGCAGGCUGUCUGGGUGUCUAAAACACACCUAAAGAAAGGGCCGGGCAAGACCGGUGCCAGCCGCCGCGGUAAUACCGGCGGCUCGAGUGGUGGCCACUUUUAUUGGGCUUAAAGCGUUCGUAGCUGGGUUAUUAAGUCCCUUGGGAAAUCCGACGGCUUAACCGUCGGGCGUCUAAGGGAUACUGGCAAUCUUGGAACCGGGAGAGGUGAGGGGUACUUCGGGGGUAGGAGUGAAAUCCUGUAAUCCUCGAGGGACCACCUGUGGCGAAGGCGCCUCACCAGAACGGCUUCGACAGUGAGGGACGAAAGCUGGGGGAGCAAACCGGAUUAGAUACCCGGGUAGUCCCAGCCGUAAACGAUGUGCGUUAGGUGUAUCGGUGACCACGAGUCACCGAGGUGCCGAAGGGAAACCGUGAAACGUACCGCCUGGGAAGUACGGUCGCAAGGCUGAAACUUAAAGGAAUUGGCGGGGGAGCACA